GGCGGCGUAGCUCAGAUGGUCAGAGCACGCGGCUCAUACCCGCGGGGUCCGGGGUUCAAAUCCCCGCGCCGCCACCA
RNAcentral lists this transfer RNA (77 nucleotides) under Bacillota bacterium. RNAcentral describes it as "Firmicutes bacterium (sediment metagenome) tRNA-Met". It matches the Rfam family "tRNA". Rfam says of the family: Transfer RNA (tRNA) molecules are approximately 80 nucleotides in length. Their secondary structure includes four short double-helical elements and three loops (D, anti-codon, and T loops). Lineage: Bacteria; Bacillati; Bacillota. The record is from RNAcentral.